RNAcentral lists this long non-coding RNA (383 nucleotides) under Medicago truncatula (barrel medic). RNAcentral describes it as "long non-coding RNA (MTRU_LNC005765)". Lineage: Eukaryota; Viridiplantae; Streptophyta; Magnoliopsida; Fabales; Fabaceae. The record is from RNAcentral.
UCAUUUCCAUGGAACUCUCAAAACAAGAACCAUUAUCUAAACCACCACCUAUGGUGGUUAUGCUACCAUCACCAGGCAUGGGACAUCUUAUACCAAUGAUUGAAUUUGCCAAAAGAAUUAUUAUUCUUAAUCAAAAUCUUCAAAUCACCUUCUUCAUUCCCACCGAAGGUCCACCUUCAAAAGCUCAAAAAACAGUUCUUCAAUCUCUACCAAAGUUCAUUUCACAUACUUUCCUUCCACCAGUUUCCUUCUCAGACCUUCCACCAAACUCCGGGAUAGAGACAAUCAUCUCCCUCACUGUCCUCCGUUCUCUCCCUUCUCUCCGUCAAAACUUCAACACUCUCUCUGAAACUCAUACUAUCACUGCUGUUGUCGUCGACCUC